Molecule: non-coding RNA, 91 nt
Organism: Vicugna pacos (alpaca)
Lineage: Eukaryota; Metazoa; Chordata; Mammalia; Artiodactyla; Camelidae
Source: RefSeq, a predicted model, not a curated record
UUGUUUUAUUCUUGUUUAUAUUUCUUUUGCCUUAGGAGACGAAUCCAAAAAAUUAGUGCUAUGACUUAUGUCAAAGAGAUCGGAAGAGGAC